AUUGAACGCUGGCGGCAUGCCUUACACAUGCAAGUCGAACGGCAGCACGGGAGCAAUCCUGGUGGCGAGUGGCGAACGGGUGAGUAAAGUAUCGGAACGUGCCCAGUCGUGGGGGAUAACGUAGCGAAAGUUACGCUAAUACCGCAUACGAUCUAUGGAUGAAAGCGGGGGAUCGCAAGACCUCGCGCGAUUGGAGCGGACGAUAUCAGAUUAGGUAGUUGGUGGGGUAAAGGCUCACCAAGCCGACGAUCUGUAGCUGGUCUGAGAGGACGACAAGCCACACUGGGACUGAGACACGGCCCAGACUCCUACGGGAGGCAGCAGUGGGGAAUUUUGGACAAUGGGCGCAAGCCUGAUCCAGCCAUGCCGCGUGCAGGAUGAAGGCCUUCGGGUUGUAAACUGCUUUUGUACGGAACGAAAAGGUUUGACUUAAUACGUUGGACUCAUGACGGUACCGUAAGAAUAAGCACCGGCUAACUACGUGCCAGCAGCCGCCGUAA
This 500-nucleotide ribosomal RNA is filed under the name uncultured bacterium. RNAcentral describes it as "partial 16S ribosomal RNA". It matches the Rfam family "Bacterial small subunit ribosomal RNA", at positions 30 to 523 of the family's 1533-position model. The record is from RNAcentral.